GACGUAGGAUGCGAGCGUUGUUCGGAAUUAUUGGGCGUAAAGCGUGCGUAGGCGGCACGUCAGGUCUGGUGUAAAAGCUAGGAGCUCAACUCCUGUGUUGCACUGGAAACCGGCGAGCUCGAGAUCGGUAGGGGAAGGUGGAAUUCCUAGUGUAGCGGUGAAAUGCGUAGAUAUUAGGAAGAACACCGGUGGCGAAGGCGACCUUCUGGGCCGUUUCUGACGCUGAGGCACGAAAGCCUGGGGAG
RNAcentral lists this ribosomal RNA (245 nucleotides) under uncultured bacterium. Its description in RNAcentral is "partial 16S ribosomal RNA". It matches the Rfam family "Bacterial small subunit ribosomal RNA", at positions 524 to 768 of the family's 1533-position model. The record is from RNAcentral.